This 167-nucleotide ribosomal RNA is filed under the name Eviota abax. Its description in RNAcentral is "partial 12S rRNA". Lineage: Eukaryota; Metazoa; Chordata; Actinopteri; Gobiiformes; Gobiidae. The record is from RNAcentral.
CACCGCGGUUAUACGAGGGGCCCAAGUUGAUAGGGUUCGGCGUAAAGGGUGGUUAAUAGAACAUACACUAAAGCCGAACGCCUUCGGAGCUGUUAUAAGCUUCUGAAGAAAGGAAGCUCUUCCACGAAAGUGUCUUUAAAUACUAUGACCCCACGAAAGCUAGGGCA